This 258-nucleotide long non-coding RNA is filed under the name Brassica rapa (field mustard). RNAcentral's name for it is "long non-coding RNA (BRAP_LNC006286)". The record is from RNAcentral. Lineage: Eukaryota; Viridiplantae; Streptophyta; Magnoliopsida; Brassicales; Brassicaceae.
AAUGGGAAUUUAAGUCGUCUUCUUAUUUUUAUGAUAAAGUAAGACUAAAUGUGUAAAAAUGAGCUUAAAAUUAAUAAAAAUUCAAUAUAUGGUGAUAAUGAUUUUACAUAUACUUUUACCAAAAAAAAAAUGAUUUUACAUAUACUUUCUAAAUUAUUCCAAAGUUUUAUUUAUCUUCUUGUCAAACUUUUGGCUGUCAAAAUUCAACUACUAUUAGAAAAGCAUUUUAACGUUUUAAGUCUAUUUAAGAUAUCUCUA